UAAACGUCUCAGUUCGGAUUGUAGUCUGCAACUCGACUACAUGAAGCUGGAAUCGCUAGUAAUCGCAGAUCAGAAUGCUGCGGUGAAUACGUUCCCGGGUCUUGUACACACCGCCCGUCACACCAUGGGAGUCGGAAAUGCCCGAAGCCGGUGACCCAACCAAAAGGAGGGAGCCGUCGAAGGCAGGUCUGAUAACUGGGGUGAAGUCGUAACAAGGUAGC
This 221-nucleotide ribosomal RNA is filed under the name uncultured bacterium. RNAcentral's name for it is "partial 16S ribosomal RNA". It matches the Rfam family "Bacterial small subunit ribosomal RNA", at positions 1277 to 1500 of the family's 1533-position model. The record is from RNAcentral.